CACUUUUGUAAUUAUGAUUCAUUUCAUACAAAACUCCUUUAUUAUACAUUUGAACUUCCGUACUUGUUUUCCAUAUUUAUUAAUCCAGUGAUCAUAGAUAAUUAAAGGAUAUGGACUUGAAUCAUGAAUUACAACCGAGAUGAAUUACAAUCGAGUUAAGAAGAAAUUUAAAUUGCAAUGGCGCAAAAAAAAGCGCUUUCAUGUUGUGCUAGGCGCUUGAAACACCAUGCUACAUUAGUGAACAUCCCACUUUCCCUCUUUUUUCUUUACAUUUCCACUCCCCUUCCUACCUCCCUUCAAAAACACAAGCCAAGAUAAUAUGAUACACAAUGCAGUAAAAUUUAACACUCAACAAUGAUCAUGGACACUGCAUAUAUGCAUAUAAAUCAAUGAUGAAUCUCAAUAGCAUCUCACUGCUCCUUUUUCUUGUUGUCCAACAUUCAAAUCCUCAAAACUCCAAUCUCUUCUCAUUCCACUGCUCCUUACCAAUCUGGGUCCAACAUUCCCUGCACUAUUGGUCCGGCGAUGAUGUUCUUUCUUUAUUUUGGACACAGCCCCGCCACCGGUCGCGGCCGCGCAUUGAGGCGGUGAUAUAUUCCCUGACCAGGUUCUACCAACUUUAAUAUUGGGCACUUUCCUACUAACCUUGAUUUCCGUGAAGUACUCUCUUUCAGAAUUUUCCCUUUGAAGAACCUGGCCACCGCAGGUAAGGCAAUUCAGACUCAUGAUGAUGAUGGUGUUUUGCGUGAAUAUUCUGGAUAAUUAGUAAUUUCAUGCAUAUAUUAAUUAACCAAUCAAGCACUUUCCCUUAAAAGGGCCAUGUAGCUUGUGGUGGGAAGGUUGGUGGGUAGGGAAUAUAAGCUUAUAAAUCACAACAAUGAAGGGGAUGAAGAGGUUAGUUUGAGAUGGCAUGGUGGAUUAGAAGAAAAGGAUUUGAAACUGAUUUGGUUUGCA
This 954-nucleotide long non-coding RNA is filed under the name Lotus japonicus. RNAcentral describes it as "long non-coding RNA (LJAP_LNC000690)". Lineage: Eukaryota; Viridiplantae; Streptophyta; Magnoliopsida; Fabales; Fabaceae. The record is from RNAcentral.